GUUCCCUGAUUGCAUUUGGAUAACAGACGUUCUUCUAUCGCACUGCAACUCAGGACUCUUGUAGAAGUUGAACUUUACCAGUUUGAAGGUGUACAACUGUGCAAGUAUUGAACAUCAGCUUCAAAUGCAAUGUGAUCUAAAAGACAACAUAAUAAUGGACAGAUGUUCUCUGGUCGUUAGUACUUGUUUGCCACACACAUGAAGAUAUUGAUCCUGCUUUCAGCUAAAUAUCAGAAAAAUUAGGAACAAAGGAAAGGAUGCUGAAACUGUACAGUCACCGGUCAGGAUUGUUUCAGAAGUGAAAUUAUAAUACAAUAUAUGUUACUGGUUAAUUCCUAUGAUUUGUAAUUUUAAACAACACACAUAGACUUUGCAUUAUUGUUUUACAAGAGAGACACCAAAAGAUGCAGUCAACAUUUAUUAUUUUUAUCAAAAUACACCCAGGACAAAUCAUGGGUACACUUAGCUUGAAAUAUGGUGCUUUCAUACCAAAAUUGCCUGGACGUAAAAGAAAUAAAGAACCAAAAUUCAUGUCAGCAAUCAUGCAGGGGAUAAGAUGAAAGAAUAAAGAAUAAGGCAGGAGUGAAAGGAAGAGAAAAAGUCAUCAGUAAAGAAACAGAUCAAUUUACAUUAACAUGUAAUAAUUCCAUCUGAAU
This is a long non-coding RNA of Mytilus californianus (California mussel), 656 nucleotides long. RefSeq lists it as uncharacterized. The transcript is spliced from 4 exons. NCBI's taxonomy places the organism in Eukaryota, Metazoa, Mollusca, Bivalvia, Mytilida, Mytilidae. The record is from RefSeq and is a predicted model, not a curated record.